This 253-nucleotide ribosomal RNA is filed under the name uncultured bacterium. RNAcentral's name for it is "partial 16S ribosomal RNA". It matches the Rfam family "Bacterial small subunit ribosomal RNA", at positions 524 to 776 of the family's 1533-position model. The record is from RNAcentral.
UACAGAGGUCUCAAGCGUUGUUCGGAUUCAUUGGGCGUAAAGGGCGCGUAGGCGGCGGGGUAAGUCGGGUGUGAAAUCUCAGAGCUCAACUCUGAAACUGCACUCGAUACUGCUCUGCUUGAGGACUGGAGAGGAGACUGGAAUUCACGGUGUAGCAGUGAAAUGCGUAGAUAUCGUGAGGAAGACCAGUGGCGAAGGCGGGUCUCUGGGCCGAUACUGACGCUGAGGAGCGAAAGCGUGGGGAGCGAACAGG